Molecule: ribosomal RNA, 110 nt
Filed under: Dysgonamonadaceae bacterium
Lineage: Bacteria; Pseudomonadati; Bacteroidota; Bacteroidia; Bacteroidales; Dysgonomonadaceae
Source: RNAcentral
UUGGGCGGCUAUGGCGCCGGGGCCCCACCUCUUCCCAUCCCGAACAGAGAAGUUAAGCCCGGACGCGCCGAUGGUACUGCGAACAGUGGGAGAGUAGGUGGCCGCCGAAA